Cynoglossus semilaevis (tongue sole) is the source of this 133-nucleotide small nucleolar RNA. Its record names the gene U8. It matches the Rfam family "U8 small nucleolar RNA". From Rfam's summary of the family: U8 is a member of the C/D class of snoRNA which contain the C (UGAUGA) and D (CUGA) box motifs. U8 is the RNA component of a small complex (the U8 snoRNP) which is required for accumulation of mature large subunit ribosomal RNAs, 5.8S and 28S rRNAs. NCBI's taxonomy places the organism in Eukaryota, Metazoa, Chordata, Actinopteri, Pleuronectiformes, Cynoglossidae. The record is from Ensembl.
UCUUCAGUGAGGUACAUCCUUACCUGUUACUCCUUCCGGGGAGUUGCAGAACAUGAUGAAUGGAGCACUAUGAGAUAUGAUUAUUAUCUCCGCUCUAUGGGGAACAGCAACACCCCGUAGAGACCAUUCUGAC